RNAcentral lists this ribosomal RNA (253 nucleotides) under uncultured bacterium. Its description in RNAcentral is "partial 16S ribosomal RNA". It matches the Rfam family "Bacterial small subunit ribosomal RNA", at positions 524 to 776 of the family's 1533-position model. The record is from RNAcentral.
UACAGAGGGGGCAAGCGUUGUUCGGAAUUACUGGGCGUAAAGGGCGCGUAGGCGGCCUGUUAAGUCGAACGUGAAAUCCCCGGGCUCAACCCGGGAACUGCGUCCGAUACUGGCAGGCUUGAAUCCGGGGGAGGGAUGCGGAAUUCCAGGUGUAGCGGUGAAAUGCGUAGAUAUCUGGAGGAACACCGGUGGCGAAGGCGGCAUCCUGGACCGGCAUUGACGCUGAGGCGCGAAAGCGUGGGGAGCAAACAGG